Molecule: ribosomal RNA, 424 nt
Filed under: uncultured bacterium
Lineage: Bacteria
Description: partial 16S ribosomal RNA
Rfam family: Bacterial small subunit ribosomal RNA
Source: RNAcentral
GAAUAUUGGACAAUGGGGGGAACCCUGAUCCAGCCAUGCCGCGGGUGUGAAGAAGGCCUUUUGGUUGUAAAGCACUUUAAGCGAGGAGGAGGCUACUGAGAUUAAUACGCUAGGAUAGUGGACGUUAACCGCAGAAGAAGCUUCGGCUAACGCCUGGCCAGCAGCCGCGGUAAUACAGAGGGUGCAAGCUUUCAUCGGGUUUACUGGGCGUAAAGCGUGCGUAGGUGGCCAAUUAAGUCAAAUGUGAAAUCCCCGAGCUUAACUUGGGACUUGCUUUCGAUACUGGUUGGCUAGAGUAUGGGAGAGGAUGGUAGAAUUCCAGGUGUAGCGGUGAAAUGCGUAGAGAUCUGGAGGAAUACCGAUGGCGAAGGCAGCCAUCUGGCCUAAUACUGACACUGAGGUGCGAAAGCAUGGGGAGCAAACA